UACAGAGGGUGCGAGCGUUAAUCGGAAUUACUGGGCGUAAAGCGUGCGUAGACGGUUAUUUAAGUCGGGUGGGAAAGCCCCGGGCUCAACCUGGGAAUUGCAUUCGAGACUGAAUAGCUAGGGUACGGUAGAGGGAAGCGGAAUUUCCGGUGUAGCGGUGAAAUGCGUAGAUAUCGGAAGGAACAUCAGUGGCGAAAGCGGCUUCCUGGACCAGUACCGACGUUCAGGCACGAAAGCGUGGGGAGCAAACAGG
This 253-nucleotide ribosomal RNA is filed under the name uncultured bacterium. RNAcentral's name for it is "partial 16S ribosomal RNA". It matches the Rfam family "Bacterial small subunit ribosomal RNA", at positions 524 to 776 of the family's 1533-position model. The record is from RNAcentral.